UGCAGAAGACCAAAAUAGGUGCCGCCAACC
RNAcentral lists this non-coding RNA (30 nucleotides) under Mus musculus (house mouse). The record is from RNAcentral. Lineage: Eukaryota; Metazoa; Chordata; Mammalia; Rodentia; Muridae.